Molecule: ribosomal RNA, 817 nt
Filed under: uncultured archaeon
Lineage: Archaea
Description: bacterial SSU rRNA
Rfam family: Archaeal small subunit ribosomal RNA
Source: RNAcentral
GUUUUCGGUUAAAUCCAUACGCUCAACGUAUGGGCUGCCGGGAAUACUGCAUAGCUAGGGAGUGGGAGAGGUAGACGGUACUCGGUAGGAAGGGGUAAAAUCCUUUGAUCUAUUGAUGACCACCUGUGGCGAAGGCGGUCUACCAGAACACGUCCGACGGUGAGGGAUGAAAGCUGGGGGAGCAAACCGGAUUAGAUACCCGGGUAGUCCCAGCUGUAAACUAUGCAAACUCGGUGAUGCAUUGGCUUGAUGCCAAUGCAGUGCCGCAGGGAAGCCGUUAAGUUUGCCGCCUGGGAAGUACGUACGCAAGUAUGAAACUUAAAGGAAUUGGCGGGGGAGCACCACAAGGGGUGAAGCCUGCGGUUCAAUUGGAGUCAACGCCAGAAAUCUUACCCGGAGAGACAGCAGAAUGAAGGUCAAGCUGAAGACUUUACCAGACAAGCUGAGAGGUGGUGCAUGGCCGUCGCCAGCUCGUGCCGUGAGAUGUCCUGUUAAGUCAGGUAACGAACGAGAUCCCUGCCUCUAGUUGCCACCAUUACUCUCAGGAGUAGUGGGGCGAAUUAGCGGGACCGCCGUAGUUAAUACGGAGGAAGGAAGGGGCCACGGCAGGUCAGUAUGCCCCGAAACUCUGGGGCCACACGCGGGCUGCAAUGGUAACGACAAUGUGUUCCGAAUCCGAAAGGAGGAGGUAAUCCAGAAACGUUACCACAGUUAUGACUGAGGGCUGCAACUCGCCCUCACGAAUAUGGAAUCCCUAGUAACUGCGUGUCAUUACCGCGCGGUGAAUACGUCCCUGCUCCUUGCACACACCGCCCGU